CACAAUUGAAAAAGACAUUAAUUGCUCAUUCUAACCCAACGGCCACAGUGGUUAUAGUCCUUUAUAGGAGGGAAAGAACCCCAACAACCCUAGAAUACAUAGUGUUCCAUUCAAGAGACGCUCAUCUAAUGUCUAACGUCUAACGUCUAACGUCUAACAUCGUUCACCACUGGGAGCUGUGGAUAUAGUGCCGAGAAAAUACAAUCACAUCUUGAAAGUUGGAAAUAAUAGAAAUUGAAAGCAUGAUCCCAAAUCUUUAUUUCAAAGCACCCAUCAGUGAGAGAAAGAAAGUAAAUUGGAAUAUGAAGACCUCUUUGAUCUUCCUUUGGAGGUAAAAUUAUAGGAAUCAAAAGAUUCAGAAGUGUCAAGCUGAAACUUGUCAAGAAAGGCUUCAGGAGAAAUAAAUGUUUCUUCUGUUUCAAGACAUACGUGAAGAAAAAUCAUAAAGGAAACCUGCGAAUGAAACCAGUGCUCCUACCACCGUGCUACGGGGUUUCUUUUUCAACUCUUCUUAAAUUCUUUGUGAUCAACAUAAAAAGCCUUUGGACUCAGAUUGGACCCAUGCCGUCAAUUCUUCUGGAUCUCCAGCUUGGUGACUGCAGAUGUUGGGAGUUCUCAGCCUCCAUAACGGCAUGACGCAAUUUCUUGUAAGAAGCUGAUGACUUCGUUGGCACUGGUGUCCGGCUGCAGACGGAGGAAGCAAUUACGUUGAGAAACAGGAUGACGCCACUGAGUGCUAAAACUCACUCUGGAGAGCUAUCAGAUGAUGGAAGUCUUUGAAAACUAGUUGUUCUUAAAAAAAUCAAAAUACGCAGCUGUGCCGCUUACAGCACGACAUCGUUCUUCUACAACACGGGAAAAAGAGAAACUGGUUCAAGUCAUACGACAGGUUAUUAUUUUGGUUAAUGUGAAAUGUUUAUCUGACAAGCUUAUUGAGUUUGAUUGGUGUUUAUAACCCCACAGCAAAUCUACAGUUUAUCUGAUCUCCCUUCCCCCUCCCAAACUGACAUCAACAAAUGUGCCAUCUGAAAAAACAAACAAAGAAAAACACCUGGGGUAUUAAAGUGUUUUAACCAGUAUGAUUUAUGUUAAUGGUACAGAAGAGAAUAUUUUUUGUUUCUCAAAAACAUAACAGGCAAUUGAUGUGCCAUAUUGCAGUAUGGUUUUAGCUAUCAACAUGUCAAGAUUUAGUUUUGCUGUUAACAUUUUACUAUUUAGAAGGCUAUAAGAAUAUGUACAGUGUAGCAACAACACAGGAUUCAUCCCCUCAGCUAUAUUUAUUGGGCUCUCAUUUUUCCCUCUUUUAUAGAAAAAAUUGAAAAAGAAAGAGAGCAAGAGAGACAGACAGGCAUCCACUCAAUCUAUUUCAUUUUCUUUAUGUCAAGUAAUGAGAAAUAAAGAGACAGAAAACCGAGCUCUUAAUAGCCUGUGCUCAGACCAAAGAGGAUUCCAGACUGAGGAAUCACAGUAUACUUUACUGGUUUGUUAUCUCCAGCAGAUAACUUAACCAUGUCAAAGCAUGUGCUACUUGAUCCUAGACCUUCAUGAAGUACGACAGCCCCACGGUUAAGGAUGUGUUGUGCGUGCUACUGGAUUGGGCGUCCCUGGUGGUGUUACCACAUAGGUGACAAUGAGUGAGAGGCAGGGGAACAUAACUAGAAGGCUUGAAGAUUGUUUUUCAAGUUUAAUUCUACCAGACAAUUGUUUCAAAUGCAAGGACAAGGCUGUAGGGCUGCAGCCAACAGGACUAAGUUGAUGCGUAAGUAGUAAAUAUUAUUAAUUUAUUACAUAAUCAAGACGAUCUGUAACAUCAAGGACAGGCCACCUUUGGCUGAUCAUUAUUUUCUGGCUCUACACAGAUAAUGUAUGUCCAAUAUUGGUGCUCCUGAGAGCACUGACAAUAUGAAUGUUCAUGCAACCCUUGAAACUUAAGCUCAAUACCAGACACAAAGACUUGAAUUAAUGAGAUAUGUAGUAUGUGUACACGUAUUUAUUUCAUGACCAGGUAAAAUACUUUAGACUCAGCAUACAUUUUUAAAUUAUAUUCCACAAUGAGGCAGAUGGAAUUAUUUUUAAAAUAAUUCUAUUUUACAACUUUUUGAAAGGAAAGAUUUUCCUUUUAAAAUGGAAUUAGCUAUUCAUGAAAAAAGAGAAUGUUAUGUUCUUGGCUUAGUUGUUCCAUAAAGAACUCAAAAUAAACAGAAGAAAGAGAUUCUAGACCGUGUGUUUUAUUUCCCAUGCAUCUAAGAUUGGAGUCAUAUGAACUUAAGAGAGAAAGAAUACUUUUUUAAAAAGGAUGUGUGUGUGUGUGUAUGUGUGUAUUUAUGUAUAUACACCAUUAAAUGCCAUUAAAUGUCUUCUCACAUAUAAAAUUAAUACCUUUCCUAUCAGCAAAAUGACUCACCUUGUUUUGUUCUUCAUGUCUUUCUCCUUUUCAGCAUAGCAAAAAUACGUUUUAGAGCAUUUACGUUAAGUCUAUUCAAUGGCCCAGUUAUCACCUAAGGCAGAGAUGUUCAUUUAGCCUCCAGAGCAGUGUUGGUAUUCUUCCCAAGAUGUUUGGAGUAAGUAUUUCCUUUGUGUUAAAACAGUAAAAUUUAAUUUCCUGUUUCAAAUAGCACCAUCAUUUGGGCUGGUCCAUAGUUAGUUUAUGAGUUUCUGGAGCUUUAAGAUUAGGAACUUUGGGAUCGGGUCUUCUUCAUCUUUGUAUAAAUAAGAUCGUAAAUGUGAAAGUGCCUGGUACAUACUAAGCAAAUAUUCUACUUCAAAAUCUUCAUGAGAACAGGUGUAGUAUAAAUAAAUAAAAUAAAGCAUUGAAACUAUAUGUUGGGCCCAAUUGAAAAUGAUGCCAAGUCAUACAAAGUCCCAAAGUAGUAACUCCUGGUUUUGAGAAUAUAUACACACAGACAUAAGGCAAACUAUCUUUCAAGUAUGAAGAUUAAAUAUAUACCUGAAUGGAUCUGGUAUUUUUUGCUGAGUGCCCCAUACUACAGUAUAUAAAACUGGUCAUUGUUAAAUUAUUUAUAAAUGAUAAGCCAUUAGAAAACCAAUGUGGUGUAAGAAAAUAUUAUUCCAAUGUAAAUCAAAAUUCUUCAAAGUGGUUAUAACGAAAGGCCUAGCAAUAGCCAUUUUGUAAAAUGAAUUCUAUCUAACAGCAUAGCUGCCCAUAAAACGAAAUUAUAUUCUCUCUGUGUAUGUCAGCACUGAUGAUGUCUAAUCAAUAACUCUGCUGCUGUCAAGCUCAGGUUGAAUUUGUAGGGAGGAAAAACACGUUACACAGUCCACCCACAUUAUUUCAUAAAGAAAUAGUCAUUUAUUUUAACCAAAGUCUCUUUUAAGAAAAGGUAAAGAGGGACAGUUACACUUUCAGGUGAGUUAUUCUUUUAGUGACUUGCAAUAUUUUUAGUAUAUCUUGAAAUAGGCUAAAUGGGGGAUUGAAAUAUUUGCAUGUAUGUCUCAACAAUGUUGUUUAAUAGCCUUUUAUUUACCUAGUUUGUAGUAUUUCUGUAAUAAGAAAAAACAAGUAGGGAAGACAUUUCCAUUAAAUAUACAGCCAUUGCAGUCAACAAGAAACGUCAAUUCUGGUAUUUCUUGAAAUGAGAGAGUAACAAACUUUUUAAAAUCUAAAGUCUUUUAUUAGAGACAAACAUUUUUAAUGUGUUAAUAAUACUGUCACUUGUUUAGAGCUUUGCAUUUACAGCGCUUUUAUAUAAUUAUAGUGUUUAUUCAGUGCUUAUGACGUACCAUGUAUAAGAUACGCAUUGUGAUCUUGUGAGUGUAUUAGGAAACAGAGAUUUUAAGACUUUAAGAAUCUUGCUCAAAUUAAAAAAAUAGGAAGUGAGAAUCAUCAUUUGUAUAUCAAUGUAUCUUACUCCAAAGCCUGUACGCAGUCACCUCAAUGGUGUGUUCCACAAAUAUGAUUUCAUUAACCGUGAGGAGAGUGAUUCACUGAUGCUCAGACACAUGUCCGAAGUUCUUGGUAUCCAUGCGCUUUUGACCGUCCUCCAUUGCCCAUCCUCCUGAAGCCUCACCUGUCCUUGAAGGCCCAAUAAAAGUCAUCUUUUUCUUUAAGAAAAUGAUAUUUGAUGUCCCCAAGUGGAAAUGUCUUCUAAACUCUUUUUCUCUUUCAUCAUAAUAUUUUAAUUUCUUAUGAAGAACUCUCUCUCAGAAGUCCAUUCUGUGCUGAAUUUGAGUUAUUUUGUGUUCAUAGCCCCCAAGAGAGAAUGUAGGAAACAUAAUUUUUGAAACUCAAAUGCCAUGUUAUUUGUUAACUAUAGUUCCUUACACCGGGCUUAUUCGAAGCCUUCUUCAACCACAUAACACACAUCUAAACAAUUCAAGAUAUGAAAAUACUACUCUAGAAUGUCUCUUAAGUAUUCCCUCUAAUCUUUCACUUAUCAUUGCUUUAAUUCUACCAGAUUUGUCAACUCUUUUCUUUUCUAUGUUUCUAGUCUCAUUUUAACCUCCAAUAUAUUGUCCAAAUUGAUGCCAGACUCACCAUUAGAAAAUAUCACCAUCUGGCCAACAACAUUCAAUGGCUCUCGACUCUUCUCAGAAAAACUCAAGCUCUCUAUCCAUAAUGGCAUAGGAAACCCUCUGUAAUUUGGCUCUUGUGUUGAUUAUAAUACCCCUCGCCUCCUUCUCUCUAUUCCUUUCGCUCUUCAGUCUCUUCACAGAAUAGGUCAAACCCAUUUGUGGCUUUGAAAAGUGAAUAGUUAUUUACAAUGAAAGCCAGAGAAGGUUAAGCAUUCCAAGCAGAAGAAACAACAUGAGUAAAAAUAGUGUUUUGAAGUGUCACAGCGUGUACUGUCAAGUGUCGUGGGACUGUAAAUGUGAGGUUUGCUGCUAUAUAGAGGCUUCCCUGAUCUUGGUUUAAUAAAAUUAAUUAUUCUUUCCUUUGUGUUGUCGAAUGUGUCAUAUGGUGGUGUCUAUUUCACUAGUAAAAAUAUACCUCCAGGAUUGGAUUUGUUUUAUGCACACUAGAACCAAGUACAUUGUGUGACUCAUAGUAGGCACUUAAAUGUUUUGUUAAUCUAUUGAACUGUUGAGAAAUGAUUCAAGAAUUUAUCAAUUUCAGGAUCUCAGAUCACUGAAAAUUUUAGAAAAAGUCUUGAUGAGAUUUUGAAUAUCAUAAGGUGAUGUACCCUGGUAUUCAGCAAUUAUGCUUUGUCUAUAAAAUCUUUAUGCUGGAUUUUGUGACCCCCAGUGGCUAAAGGGACAGGGAUUUCAAUAAAUGUUAUCUUUUUAAAAACAAUUAAAAUUAACCACAGGCAUCUAUUGGCAGGCUGUCCUGUGGGAGAGCUGGAGGAGGAAUCGGACUCAUUGGCAGUCACAAAGGAGGGCUACCCAUACCCGGGUCCCAGGACAUUGGAGAAGAUAAGAAAAUAUAUAUACAUGUUUACAUGAAGGAAAGUAACUAAACUGCUUCCAGGAGAAAUGUCCACAAAAAGAGUUGUAUAAGAGAAUUUAUGCUGGCUUUCUUCAUUAUAGCUAAAGGAUGGAAACAAGGUAAAUUUUCACCAACAGGAGAACAG
RNAcentral lists this long non-coding RNA (5531 nucleotides) under Equus caballus (horse). RNAcentral describes it as "lncRNA (ENSECAG00000058670.1)". Lineage: Eukaryota; Metazoa; Chordata; Mammalia; Perissodactyla; Equidae. The record is from RNAcentral.